AUGCCGGCGGCGGGCUCGGAGGGGGAGGAGGGCCCAGCGGGGGCCGGCGGGGAGGGCGCGGGGCCCGGCGGCGGCCCGGCGGGGGAGCAGGCCGGCCCCGGCACCCCCAAGCUCUGCGGGUACCUGCAGAAGCUGUCGGGCAAGGGCCCCCUGCGCGGCUUCCGCAGCCGCUGGUUCGUCUUCGACCCCCGCCGCUGCUACCUCUAUUACUUCAAGGGGCCGCAGGAGGCGCUGCCCCUCGGGCACCUCGACAUCGCCUCCGCCUGCUUCAGCUACCACCAGCCCGAAGCCGGCGCCGCCGCCGCGGGGGACGAGGCCGCCGCCUUCGAGGUGCACAGCCCCAACGGGGCCGUCGCGGUGCUCAAGGCUGCAACUCGUCAGGAUAUGACGUACUGGCUUCAGGAGCUUCAACAGAAGAGGUGGGAAUAUUGUAACAACCUUGACGCAGCAAAAAGGGACAGCCGAACUUCCCCUACACCAAGUGACUUUUCCAAAGGUCUUGUUGCCAAAGACAACCCUGAUUUGAGUAUCCUAAGUCAAAAUGCUUCAGCAGAGAGAGCUAGAAAUAUUCUAGCUGUGGAGACUUCUCCUACAGACCUGGUGGGGGAACAAGCAGCUUCCCAACCUGCACCAGUCCAACCAAGCGCUAUCAAUUUCUCGCUAAAACAGUGGAGUACUGAAAUCAAAAAUUCAAUGUCCUCUUUAAGAAAAGGAAAUAACGAAAACCGCAAGAGCAUAUUUUAUACCACUGAAGAGUGGGAAUUGCUGGAUCCAACCCCAAAAGACUUAGAGGACUCGAUGGCCCUGGAAGAAAAGAGGAAACACCUGGCAGAAGGAAGUAAAGGACUGACUAGUUCAGCUUUUCCAUUCGAUUUUGGCCGCAUUCCACACAAAACAAGGCGCCCGUUAAAAGACAUGAUUGGAUCAAGCAAAAACCGGAACAGCACUGAGUCUUCUCCAACUGAGUGGUAUUCUGGUAAUGGCAACAAACUAGUUUCUGAGCUGCAACUGAAGUAUCAAAGCCAGCAAGAAGAGUUGGAAAAGCUGAAGAAAGAUCUUUUGAGCCAAAAGGAACUUGUGCGACUUCUGCAGCAAACAGUCCGAUCUUCCCAGUAUGAUAAAUAUUUUGCAAGCCGUCUUUGUGAGGGGGUUCCCAAAGACAAAUUAGAGCUGUUGCACCAAAAAGAUGACCAGAUUUUGGGUCUCAACAACCAGCUUGAAAAGUUAAAUCUGGAAAAAGAUAGCCUCCAGCAAGAAGUAAAGAAUCUGAAAUGUAAAGUUGGAGAACUCAAUGAGCAGCUGGGUAUGUUGAUGGAAACUAUUCAAGCUAAAGAUGAAGUGAUCAUGAAACUCUCUCGUCAACUCAGCGAAUGUGAGGACAAUACAUCUUCUCAAAGUGGAGCAGUAAAUUCUUCCGUGGCCACCUGUACUAAUAAGGAACUACAGGAACUGGACAGACUAAAAGACAAUCUUCAGGGUUAUAAGACCCAGAAUAAAUUUUUAAAUAAGGAGAUUUUGGAACUUUCUGCUCUACGAAGAAAUGCAGAAGCAAGAGAGAGAGAAUGGCAGGCAAAGUAUACUAGCUUGGAAGCCAAACUCUGUCAGAUAGAAAGUAAAUACUUGAUCUUGCUUCAAGAAAUGAAAACUCCUGUUUGUUCUGAGGAGCAGAGUCCUGCUCGUGAGGUUAUCACACAGUUACUGGAAGAUGCCUUGAAAGCAGAAACUAGUGAACAACCAGAACAAGCGUUUUUCAAACUGCACCUGGUCAGUGAAUAUGAUAUAUAUGGUUUUCAGACAGUCCCAGAGGAUGAUGACGAGGAGAAACUAGUAGCAAAAUCACGAGCUUUGGACCUGAGAUCGCUUUCUCUCAGCGAAAAUCGAGAGAUCUCCACAGGAGUAAAAUGGGAAAACUAUCUUGCAAGCACAAUGAAUAGAGAGAUGAUGCGCUGUGUAGAACUAAAGAAUCUUAUUCGAUCUGGAAUUCCACAUGAACAUCGUUCCAAGAUGUGGAAAUGGUGUGUCAAUCUCCAUGUUAAAAAAUUCAAGGACAGCACUGUUCCUGGGUAUUUCCAAACCUUGCUUCAAAAUGCUCUGGAAAAACAAAAUCCUGCAUCUAAACAAAUUGAGUUGGAUCUCCUGAGAACUUUGCCAAACAACAAACAUUAUUCAUCCCCAACAUCUGAAGGGAUCCAGAAGCUGCGAAAUGUGCUGCUUGCAUUUUCGUGGAGAAAUCCUGAUAUAGGAUAUUGCCAAGGGCUCAACAGAUUGGUGGCGAUUGCACUUCUGUACUUGGAACAGGAAGAUGCUUUUUGGUGUCUAGUAACAAUAGUGGAAGUUUUCAUGCCUCGUGAUUAUUAUACUAAGACACUGCUAGGAUCUCAGGUUGAUCAGCGAGUAUUCAAGGAUUUAAUGAGUGAGAAGCUUCCACGACUGCAUGCUCAUUUUGAACAAUACAAUGUUGACUAUACUCUUAUAACUUUCAACUGGUUUCUUGUGGUAUUUGUGGACAGUGUGGUUAGCGACAUCCUUUUUAAAAUCUGGGACUCCUUCCUAUAUGAGGGACCAAAGGUAAUAUUCCGAUUUGCCCUGGCACUUUUUAAAUACAAAGAAGAGGAAAUCUUAAAACUGCAAGAUUCAAUGUCCAUUUUCAAGUACCUUCGAUAUUUCACACGCACUAUACUUGAUGCUAGGAAACUGACUGGUAUUGCUUUUGGAGACCUGAAUCCCUUUCCAUUACGUCAGAUCAGAAACCGGAGGACCUAUCACCUGGAGAAAGUGCGUCUUGAACUAACUGAACUAGAAGCCAUUCGUGAGGAUUUCCUGCGUGAACGAGAGACGUGUGUAGAAAAAAGAGACCUUAUUAGUGAUGAUGAGGAGGAUAGUUGAAACUACUCAACAUAACUUUUCUUUGGAAUCGUGACCAAAGUGAGUUAACCCCCAAAACACUUUAUUAAUCCUGUCAAACAGAAUGUAAACUAGUUGCUUUUGGAAAUAUGCAGGACAGAUUUCCAAACCCCAGCACUUUCAGAAAUAUUGCUUUGUAUGGAGGCCAAACACUUCUGUUUACAUUUAUGUUCAUGGAAUUGUAUGUAGAGCACUUAAUAUCUGUCUCAGUUUAGUCAAUCAGCUGAAUUGCCAGUUUUCCCGCAGUGCACUGUUAGUGCCUGUAUGUGAAACAGUAGUAAGAAAAGUCCACGCUCUGUUUACUCCAUUCAUUGCCAUUCUGCAUUAUUUUUUACAUAAUCAUGGUUUUUGUAGUGCACGUUCAGUGUGGGAGGACAUCAUAUUUUCUGGUUUCAGGUUGGUUCAAUAAAUGGCUUUCAUCAUGUUGUCCUUGAAUAAACUAGCCAUUCUCGAGGUCACAAACUAGAAAAGUAUGGAAUGAAGCACAGGAAGAACUUUCACAUUCCUUUGUCUUUUCCUGAAGUGACAUGAAAUGGAUCAUCAAACAGAACACUUGAAUAUAUGUACUUAAAGUAAAGUGUUAAAUGAAAUCUUUCUAAGCUGAAGAUCUUCCUUCCAGUGGCAACAGUUGAAAUGUUAAGGUGAAGAAUUUAGAAGUAUGUACCUACCCUAUUCCUACAAGUCUACUAUCCCUGGGUUUUGAGUCUUCACUAUGAACUAGUCCUAUGACUUUAGGAGAUGUUUUCAGACUGAUUUCAUUGAAGUCUUUAGGUUGUGAAGAUAAAACUAACUUUAGGACAACUGUUCAGGAAGUUCUCUAGCUGACAAAACAUGACCUGCAAUGUUACAGGACCAUUUCUUUUUCACAGUUGUGCUGAUGGUUAAAUUUAUGUGUGUGUGUUGCUGUGUUUCAUUAUAUAAGUUGUUACCCACUUGUACAGUAAAACUAAGUAGCUCUGUUUCUUAUGCCACUAUGUGAAUCUAAUACAUGAAUGUUAGGAAGCUUAUGGAAAUCAUGUUGUCUCUGGGUAUUUUGUUAGCUUGCAAAUACGAAAUGAGUUGAUGCUGUUACACUCAAGUUCCCAGCGAGCUAUUGGCUUCAUUUUGUUAAGUAUUGUUACUGAUGCCUUAGUUACAAGGUCAAAAAUUGCAGAGGCAUCUAACCUCUGACCACUAGAAGUCUACAUAGAACAAAAAUGAGAUGCAUAUAGCAGGAAGCAACGUCAGAGGAAGCUUGCCUUGCUGUUGCAAAUGUCUUUGGGUGACUAUUAGUUUUCUAGUGGUGCUUAAUCUGGUAACUUUGAAGAGGCGUAACUAGUUAGGGACCUGCAAGAUACACAGGCAGUAUUUAAACCUAGUGACACCAAGGAAAAAUACGGUGUGACUCAGUGGCCUGCAAAAGCUGAACUGCAUAGAUACCAAGUGUUUCUAUUUAGGGGUAAACUUCUGAAGCAGUGCAUGAGGAUUUAACAUUCAUGCCAGCCACUUCAUAGGAAAUCGACCUGUUAAUGCAAAUAAAGACUGCUAAGACUAUUUUUUAACUUCAAGGUCAUGCACAUAUGUGCAAAGAGUUCCUUAUGCAUGGUUCCCGGUAUACGUGAUGUAAACCAAACCACUAAGUUGCUUCUUGCAGGAUAUUCCUCCAUCUUCAUACACGUAUGCAUGGCUUUCCAGUGAAACUUCUAGUUACUUCUUUAAAAAGUUCUAUUAGCUUCUGUUAAAUAGGCAAAAAAUUGGUGCACUACACCUCUAGCUAUUAAAACUGCACAGUAUUUCAGCUUUACCUGUACAUGUGUACAGGUAGUGUUAUCAUCCAGUGUUAUCAGAUUGUUUGGUGGGGUUUUUUUACCAGCUAUGUACAAUAAAAAGGAUUUUUUGUUGCCCUUUAGGUGUCUUCUGUGAGAGAUUCUCCCCUUCCCCUCAGUCUUUGUAAACAUGGUAAGAUAUUUCAGCAGAAAGGGAAAGAUUUUCUUCCUUGAGACAUCAGGAAUGAAUGAAUGGUCUUAAAUUUGACAGAGUUGUAUGUUCAGUCAUGCUUAACUGAGAAAUGGAAAAUUAAUCAAUUUCAUGAAAUUGUGUAGCUGUUUAAGUGAAUGUUUCCUUAAGUGCCAUGUUAGAAAUCAGCAAUAUGCGGUACAAGAAAUUUGAAUCACAAAACAUGUUAUUUUCAUAAAGAUUGAUGUAAAGACAAAAUAAAUUGUUUAUUACUUUA
Molecule: RNA transcript, 5116 nt
Organism: Gymnogyps californianus (California condor)
Lineage: Eukaryota; Metazoa; Chordata; Aves; Accipitriformes; Cathartidae
Gene: TBC1D2B
Gene name: TBC1 domain family member 2B
Exons: 14
Source: RefSeq, a predicted model, not a curated record